UCCCUGGUCGUUCAACGGCAGGACACCUGGCUCUGAACCAGGAGAUGGAGGUUCGAGUCCUCCCUGGGGGACCA
This 74-nucleotide transfer RNA is filed under the name Alphaproteobacteria bacterium. Its description in RNAcentral is "tRNA-Gln". It matches the Rfam family "tRNA". From Rfam's summary of the family: Transfer RNA (tRNA) molecules are approximately 80 nucleotides in length. Their secondary structure includes four short double-helical elements and three loops (D, anti-codon, and T loops). Further hydrogen bonds mediate the characteristic L-shaped molecular structure. tRNAs have two regions of fundamental functional importance: the anti-codon, which is responsible for specific mRNA codon recognition, and the 3' end, to which the tRNAs corresponding amino acid is attached (by aminoacyl-tRNA synthetases). tRNAs cope with the degeneracy of the genetic code in two manners: having more than one tRNA (with a specific anti-codon) for a particular amino acid; and 'wobble' base-pairing, i.e. permitting non-standard base-pairing at the 3rd anti-codon position. The record is from RNAcentral. Lineage: Bacteria; Pseudomonadati; Pseudomonadota; Alphaproteobacteria.